GGGCGGUUAGCUCAGUUGGCUAGAGCAUUUGCUCGACAUGCAAAGGGUCGUUGGUUCAAGUCCAAUACCGCCUA
RNAcentral lists this transfer RNA (74 nucleotides) under Patescibacteria group bacterium. RNAcentral's name for it is "tRNA-Val". It matches the Rfam family "tRNA". From Rfam's summary of the family: Transfer RNA (tRNA) molecules are approximately 80 nucleotides in length. Their secondary structure includes four short double-helical elements and three loops (D, anti-codon, and T loops). The record is from RNAcentral.